GCUGGGGGGACUCGGUUUCGAGUUGAGAGGAUAGAGAUAUCCGACCCUUUGAACCUGAAGCGGUUAAUACCGCCGUAGGGAAGCGCCUGU
This 90-nucleotide non-coding RNA is filed under the name chicken gut metagenome. Its description in RNAcentral is "TPP riboswitch (THI element)". It matches the Rfam family "TPP riboswitch aptamer (THI element)", at positions 8 to 91 of the family's 105-position model. From Rfam's summary of the family: Vitamin B(1) in its active form thiamin pyrophosphate (TPP) is an essential coenzyme that is synthesised by coupling of pyrimidine and thiazole moieties in bacteria. The previously detected thiamin-regulatory element, thi box was extended, resulting in a new, highly conserved RNA secondary structure, the THI element, which is widely distributed in eubacteria and also occurs in some archaea. The record is from RNAcentral.